ACUCCUACGGGAGGCAGCAGUGGGGAAUAUUGGACAAUGGGCGAAAGCCUGAUCCAGCCAUGCCGCGUGUGUGAAGAAGGUCUUCGGAUUGUAAAGCACUUUAAGUUGGGAGGAAGGGCAGUAAGUUAAUACCUUGCUGUUUUGUACGUUACCAACAGAAUAAGCACCGGCUAACUUCGUGCCAGCAGCCGCGGUAAUACGAAGGGGUGCAAGCGUUAAUCGGAAUUACUGGGCGUAAAGCGCGCGUAGGUGGUUCAGCAAGUUGGAUGUGAAAUCCCCGGGGCUCAACCUGGGAACUGCAUCCAAAACUACUGAGCUAGAGUACGGUAGAGGGUGGUGGAAUUUCCUGUGUAGCGGUGAAAUGCGUAGAUAUAGGAAGGAACACCAGUGGCGAAGGCGACCACCUGGACUGAUACUGACACUGAGGUGCGAAAGCGUGGGGAGCAAACAGGAUUAGAUA
RNAcentral lists this ribosomal RNA (460 nucleotides) under uncultured bacterium. RNAcentral describes it as "bacterial SSU rRNA". It matches the Rfam family "Bacterial small subunit ribosomal RNA", at positions 335 to 784 of the family's 1533-position model. The record is from RNAcentral.